Molecule: transfer RNA, 66 nt
Filed under: uncultured Niameybacter sp.
Lineage: Bacteria; Bacillati; Bacillota; Clostridia; Lachnospirales; Lachnospiraceae
Rfam family: tRNA
About the family: Transfer RNA (tRNA) molecules are approximately 80 nucleotides in length. Their secondary structure includes four short double-helical elements and three loops (D, anti-codon, and T loops).
Source: RNAcentral
GGCUGUGGUUCAAUGGUAGAACACCAGCUUCCCAAGCUGGGAACGCGGGUUCGAUUCCCGUCAGCC